RNAcentral lists this ribosomal RNA (253 nucleotides) under uncultured bacterium. RNAcentral's name for it is "partial 16S ribosomal RNA". It matches the Rfam family "Bacterial small subunit ribosomal RNA", at positions 524 to 776 of the family's 1533-position model. The record is from RNAcentral.
GACGUAGGGCGCGAGCGUUGUCCGGAUUUAUUGGGCGUAAAGAGCUCGUAGGCGGCUUGUCGCGUCGACCGUGAAAACUUGGGGCUCAACCCCAAGCCUGCGGUCGAUACGGGCAGGCUCGAGUUCGGUAGGGGAGACUGGAGUUCCUGGUGUAGCGGUGAAAUGCGCAGAUAUCAGGAGGAACACCGAUGGCGAAGGCAGGUCUCUGGGCCGAUACUGACGCUGAGGAGCGAAAGCGUGGGGAGCGAACAGG